GACGAACGCUGGCGGCGUGCCUAAUACAUGCAAGUAGAACGCUGAAGGAGGAGCUUGCUUCUCUGGAUGAGUUGCGAACGGGUGAGUAACGCGUAGGUAACCUGCCUGGUAGCGGGGGAUAACUAUUGGAAACGCUAGCUAAUACCGCAUAAUAUUUGAUGUUGCAUGACAUUUGCUUAAAAGGUGCAAUUGCAUUACUACCAGUUGGACCUGCUUUGUCUUAGUUAGUUGGUGGGGUAACGGCUCACAAAGGCGACGAUGCAUAGCCGACCUGGGAGGGGGUUGGCCACACUGGGACUGGGAAAAGGCCCAGAAUCCUAAGGGAGGGAGCAGUAGGGAAACUUCGGGAAUGGGGGGAAGGCUGAACGGAGAAAGGCGGCGGGGGGAAGAAGGGUCUCGGAUCGGAAAGAUCUGUUGAAAGGGAAGAAAGAGAGGGGGAAUGGAAAAUGCACGCUGUGACGGUAUCUAACCAGAAAGGGACGGCUAACUACGUG
This 494-nucleotide ribosomal RNA is filed under the name uncultured bacterium. RNAcentral's name for it is "partial 16S ribosomal RNA". It matches the Rfam family "Bacterial small subunit ribosomal RNA", at positions 28 to 507 of the family's 1533-position model. The record is from RNAcentral.